UACGUAGGGUGCAAGCGUUGUCCGGAAUUAUUGGGCGUAAAGAGCUCGUAGGCGGUCUGUUGCGUCGGCUGUGAAAACCCGGGGCUCAACUCCGGGCCUGCAGCCGAUACGGGCAGACUAGAGUUCGGCAGGGGAGACUGGAAUUCCUGGUGUAGCGGUGAAAUGCGCAGAUAUCAGGAGGAACACCGGUGGCGAAGGCGGGUCUCUGGGCCGAUACUGACGCUGAGACGCGAAAGCGUGGGGAGCAAACAGG
RNAcentral lists this ribosomal RNA (253 nucleotides) under uncultured bacterium. RNAcentral describes it as "partial 16S ribosomal RNA". It matches the Rfam family "Bacterial small subunit ribosomal RNA", at positions 524 to 776 of the family's 1533-position model. The record is from RNAcentral.